This 253-nucleotide ribosomal RNA is filed under the name uncultured bacterium. RNAcentral describes it as "partial 16S ribosomal RNA". It matches the Rfam family "Bacterial small subunit ribosomal RNA", at positions 524 to 776 of the family's 1533-position model. The record is from RNAcentral.
UACGUAGGGGGCAAGCGUUGUCCGGAAUCAUUGGGCGUAAAGCGCGUGUAGGCGGCCAUGUAGGUCCGUUGUGAAAACUCGAGGCUCAACCUCGAGACGCCGAUGGAAACCAUGUGGCUAGAGUCCGGAAGAGGAGAGUGGAAUUCCUGGUGUAGCGGUGAAAUGCGCAGAUAUCAGGAAGAACACCCGUGGCUAAGGCGGCUCUCUAGUACGGUACUGACGCUGAGACGCGAAAGCGUGGGGAGCGAACAGG